CGGGUUGUAAAGCUCUGUUGCCCGUGAAGAACGGUGCUCUCAGGAAAUGGGGAGCGCUUGACGGUAGCGGGAGAGGAAGCUCCGGCUAACUACGUGCCAGCAGCCGCGGUAAUACGUAGGGAGCGAGCGUUGUCCGGAUUUAUUGGGCGUAAAGGGCGUGUAGGCGGCUUUUUAAGUCUGAGGUGAAACUCCAGGGCUCAACCCUGGAACUGCCUCGGAUACUGGGAGGCUUGAGUGCUCUAGAGGGCAGUGGAAUUCCGGGUGUAGCAGUGAAAUGCGUAGAGAUCCGGAGGAACACCAGUGGCGAAGGCGACUGCCUGGGGAGUAACUGACGCUGAGGCGCGAAAGCUGGGGGAGCAAACGGGAUUAGAUACCCCGGUAGUCCCAGCCGUAAACGAUGAGUGCUAGGUGUAGCGGGUAUCGACCCCCGCUGUGCCGGAGUUAACGCAAUAAGCACUCCGCCUGGGGAGUACGGCCGCAAGGUUGAAACUCAAAGGAAUUGACGGGGGCCCGCACAAGCAGCGGAGCAUGUGGUUUAAUUCGAAGCAACGCGUAGAACCUUACCAGGGCUUGACAUGUAGCGAACCUCUUGGAGACAGGAGGGUGCUCCUUCGGGAGAACGCUAACACAGGUGGUGCAUGGUUGUCGUCAGCUCGUGUCGUGAGAUGUUGGGUUAAGUCCCGCAACGAGCGCAACCC
RNAcentral lists this ribosomal RNA (698 nucleotides) under uncultured Symbiobacterium sp. RNAcentral's name for it is "bacterial SSU rRNA". It matches the Rfam family "Bacterial small subunit ribosomal RNA", at positions 419 to 1104 of the family's 1533-position model. The record is from RNAcentral. Lineage: Bacteria; Bacillati; Bacillota; Clostridia; Eubacteriales; Symbiobacteriaceae.